AUAUGUAGUUUGAUUAGUUUUUCCUCCAGAAAGAAUUGUACAGGUAUGUAUUGUUUUUGAAUUGCAUAGAGAAUUUACUUCUGAGUACCUAUAUGUAAUAUAAACAUUCAGAUAACUAUUACAUUUUUCUUAUGUCUCUUGUUUGUAGCAGAUAUAUUUCUUUUGGUUAUAUCACAUAGAACGGAUAAAUUUUUUUAUAUUGCAUGGUGAACUUUUUACUGAGUAUAUAUUAUGUGAUAUAACCAUAUAUAGGUUGGCCCAGUUCUUGUAGAGUAACUUGGUGUAUUCACUUUUAGGAUGAAAGCGUCAUAGUCACUUUAUAGAUCAAUAAAUUCACAAAAACAUAAGGAGGUUAUUGACAUCAGGUUGUUCAAAAUUAAAGAUUUUAUUGAUAAAUCUGGUAACUUGAACAACCUCGAUAUAACUUCCUUAUUAUGAAAUUACGACCCAUAUUCAUAUUAUGUUUUCAUCUUAAAAACUGAAAACUCUCACAAC
Harmonia axyridis is the source of this 495-nucleotide long non-coding RNA. RefSeq lists it as uncharacterized. The transcript has 2 exons. The record is from RefSeq and is a predicted model, not a curated record. NCBI's taxonomy places the organism in Eukaryota, Metazoa, Arthropoda, Insecta, Coleoptera, Coccinellidae.